UACAGAGGUCUCAAGCGUUGUUCGGAUUCAUUGGGCGUAAAGGGUGCGUAGGUGGCGAGGUUAGUCAGGUGUGAAAUCUCGGGGCUCAACCCCGAAACUGCACUUGAUACUGCCUUGCUAGAGUACUGGAGAGGAGAUUGGAAUUUACGGUGUAGCGGUGAAAUGCGUAGAGAUCGGAAGGAACACCAGUGGCGAAGGCGGCUACCUGGACAAAUACUGACGCUGAGGCGCGAAAGCGUGGGGAGCAAACAGG
Molecule: ribosomal RNA, 253 nt
Filed under: uncultured bacterium
Lineage: Bacteria
Description: partial 16S ribosomal RNA
Rfam family: Bacterial small subunit ribosomal RNA
Source: RNAcentral